CUUCAGCGACCCGAGCCACAGCGCCCGUUCGCGGUCCUGGCCGUAGGUGGCCAGCAGUGCCUGGGCCUC
Streptomyces sp. 769 is the source of this 69-nucleotide non-coding RNA. Lineage: Bacteria; Bacillati; Actinomycetota; Actinomycetes; Kitasatosporales; Streptomycetaceae. The record is from Rfam.